UUAGCUAAUGUGAAGAUUAUAGCUGGUGUUUCUGUUAAAGUCCCAAGAGUAUCCUCCAUAGCCCAACUGCGUAAGAGGAAAGGUCAUGACAGGUAGAGCCUUAUUGCUAUAAACAAAAACUGCUAACUAUCUUGUGCAGGUUGAUAUGGGAGGAGUACCAGCAACACUGGUUAAUAUUGUGUGAAGACGUCAGCCAUUGGCAGUUGCAUAUUGAAAUGAGUACUUAGGACCUCAGGUACUGAUUGACCUAAAGAUCAGACUAAUUAUGUGUAUAAAACACAUGUAUGAUGUAUAAUAGUAUAAUACUAUGAAUGUGUGUAUAUGU
Long non-coding RNA from Amphimedon queenslandica, 325 nucleotides. RefSeq lists it as uncharacterized. The transcript is spliced from 3 exons. Lineage: Eukaryota; Metazoa; Porifera; Demospongiae; Haplosclerida; Niphatidae. The record is from RefSeq and is a predicted model, not a curated record.